This 223-nucleotide ribosomal RNA is filed under the name Campeiostachys nutans. Its description in RNAcentral is "Elymus nutans partial small subunit ribosomal RNA". The stretch from base 96 to 223 matches the Rfam family "Eukaryotic small subunit ribosomal RNA", at positions 738 to 864 of the family's 1831-position model. Lineage: Eukaryota; Viridiplantae; Streptophyta; Magnoliopsida; Poales; Poaceae. The record is from RNAcentral.
GGAUUGACACAUCGGUCGUGCCUUAAGGGGUGUGAACUGGUGUAGUCAAUUUCUCACCUUCUGGAGAACCGCGAUGUCCUUAAUUGGGUGCCGCGAGGAACCAGAACCUUUACUUUGAAAAAAUUAGAGUGUUUAAAGCAGGCAUUUUUGCUUGAAUACAUUAGCAUGGAAUAAUAAAAUAGGACGGCAUGAUUCUAUUUUGUUGGUUUCUAGGAUCACCGUA